GCGAGUGAAGCGGCAAGAGCUCAACUUUGGAAUCGCUCCGGCGAGUUGUAGUCUGGAGGUGGCCACCACGAGGUGUUCUAGCAGCAGGCAAGUCCUUUGGAACAAGGCGCCAGCGAGGGUGACAGCCCCGUACCUGCUUUUGCUAGUGCUUCCUGUGGCCCACCGACGAGUCGAGUUGUUUGGGAAUGCAGCUCUAAGUGGGUGGUAAAUUCCAUCUAAGGCUAAAUAUUGGCGAGAGACCGAUAGCGAACAAGUACAGUGAUGGAAAGAUGAAAAGCACUUUGAAAAGAGAGUGAAACAGUACGUGAAAUUGUUGAAAGGGAAGGGCUUGCACCCAGACACGGUUUCGGCCGGGCCAGCAUCAAGUAGAACGGGGUUAAAAGACCUGGGGAAUGUAGCUACCUCUUGGUAGUGUUAUAGCCCUUGGGUGAUGACCCCUGUUUUGCUUGAGGACAGCG
This 458-nucleotide ribosomal RNA is filed under the name Candidozyma auris. RNAcentral describes it as "eukaryotic LSU rRNA". It matches the Rfam family "Eukaryotic large subunit ribosomal RNA", at positions 89 to 556 of the family's 3401-position model. Lineage: Eukaryota; Fungi; Ascomycota; Pichiomycetes; Serinales; Metschnikowiaceae. The record is from RNAcentral.